This 630-nucleotide small RNA is filed under the name Pan troglodytes (chimpanzee). RNAcentral's name for it is "retained intron". The record is from RNAcentral. Lineage: Eukaryota; Metazoa; Chordata; Mammalia; Primates; Hominidae.
AAGCAAGCAGCUCACACCCAGGAAGCCCUGGAGGAGGCUGUGCAGAUGAUGACCGAGGCCGUAGAGGACCUGACAACAACCCUCAACGAGGCAGCCAGUGCUGCUGGGGUCGUGGGUGGCAUGGUGGACUCCAUCACCCAGGCCAUCAACCAGCUAGAUGAAGGACCAAUGGGUGAACCAGAAGGUUCCUUCGUGGAUUACCAAACAACUAUGGUGCGGACAGCCAAGGCCAUUGCAGUGACCGUUCAGGAGAUGGUGAGUUUGGGCGAGUCCCAGAGGACUGCCCUCGGAGAGCUGACUUUGGAUAUAACUUCACUCGUUCCAUUAUCACCAGGUUACCAAGUCAAACACCAGCCCAGAGGAGCUGGGCCCUCUUGCUAACCAGCUGACCAGUGACUAUGGCCGUCUGGCCUCGGAGGCCAAGCCUGCAGCGGUGGCUGCUGAAAAUGAAGAGGUCUCCCACGUCCUGGCUGCGCUCCAGGCUGGGAAUCGUGGCACCCAGGCCUGCAUCACAGCAGCCAGCGCUGUGUCUGGUAUCAUUGCUGACCUCGACACCACCAUCAUGUUCGCCACUGCUGGCACGCUCAAUCGUGAGGGUACUGAAACUUUCGCUGACCACCGGUAAGACAG